RNAcentral lists this ribosomal RNA (875 nucleotides) under uncultured bacterium. Its description in RNAcentral is "bacterial SSU rRNA". It matches the Rfam family "Bacterial small subunit ribosomal RNA", at positions 8 to 916 of the family's 1533-position model. The record is from RNAcentral.
AGAGUUUGAUCAUGGCUCAGAAUCAACGCUGGCGGCGCGCUUAACACAUGCAAGUCGAACGAGAAAGGGGAGCAAUCCCUGAGUAAAGUGGCGUACGGGUGAGUAACACGUGGGUAAUCUACCUCUGGGUGGGGAAUAACCCUGGGAAACCGGGGCUAAUACCGCAUACGCUCGGGAGAGGAAAGGCGCAAGUCGCCUGGAGAGGAGCCCGCGGCCGAUUAGCUAGUUGGUAGGGUAAAGGCCUACCAAGGCCAAGAUCGGUAGCCGGCCUGAGAGGGCACACGGCCACACUGGCACUGAAACACGGGCCAGACUCCUACGGGAGGCAGCAGUGGGGAAUCUUGCACAAUGGGGGCAACCCUGAUGCAGCGACGCCGCGUGAGUGAUGAAGCCCUUCGGGGUGUAAAGCUCUUUCGGCAGGGACGAUAAUGACGGUACCUGAAGAAGAAGCUGCGGCUAACUACGUGCCAGCAGCCGCGGUAAUACGUAGGCAGCGAGCGUUGUUCGGAGUUACUGGGCGUAAAGCGUGCGUAGGCGGUGGUCCAAGUCUGGUGUGAAAUCUCCCGGCUCAACUGGGAGGGUGCGCCGGAAACUGGGCUGCUGGAGUGUGGGAGAGGUAAGCGGAAUUCCUGGUGUAGCGGUGAAAUGCGUAGAUAUCAGGAGGAACACCUGCGGUGUAGACGGCUUACUGGACCAUGACUGACGCUGAGGCACGAAAGCGUGGGGAGCAAACAGGAUUAGAUACCCUGGUAGUCCACGCCCUAAACGAUGCAUACUUGGUGUGGGCAGUUCAGUCUGUCCGUGCCGGAGCUAACGCGUUAAGUAUGCCGCCUGGGGAGUACGGUCGCAAGGCUGAAACUCAAAUGAAUUGACGG